CCAAAUCUCAGAAAAUCAAAUUUUCUCAACAAUAAUAAGGAAGAAUCUUCUGUGUAUGCUUUAGGCUGGAAUAAAACGUGAUCGAGGGGACCUCGCCUGAGAUUUUCUUUGUAUGCGAAUUGAAUGAAAGUUCAAAAUAUGUCUGAUCUCCUUUGUGAGCGAGGCUGGAAUAAGCGUUGAUGAGGAAUGGGGAGCCCAUUUUCACAUGAAAGUUCAAAAUAUGAGAGAUACAUCCUCAGAUCUUGCCGGAAAGCAUCUACCCACGGAAGUUGUCUGAAAUCCUUUCUCGCCGGAAAACAUCCUCAGAUCUCGCCGGAAAAUAUGUCUGAUCUCC
This 334-nucleotide long non-coding RNA is filed under the name Panax ginseng (ginseng). RNAcentral's name for it is "long non-coding RNA (PGIN_LNC015344)". The record is from RNAcentral. Lineage: Eukaryota; Viridiplantae; Streptophyta; Magnoliopsida; Apiales; Araliaceae.